Molecule: transfer RNA, 70 nt
Filed under: Conger oceanicus (American conger)
Lineage: Eukaryota; Metazoa; Chordata; Actinopteri; Anguilliformes; Congridae
Description: tRNA-Phe
Source: RNAcentral
GUCAACGUAGCUUAAAACAAAGCAUGGUAUUGAAGAUACCAAGAUUAAACCUUAAAAGGUUUCGAUGGCA